Molecule: ribosomal RNA, 265 nt
Filed under: uncultured Flavobacteriaceae bacterium
Lineage: Bacteria; Pseudomonadati; Bacteroidota; Flavobacteriia; Flavobacteriales; Flavobacteriaceae
Description: partial 23S ribosomal RNA
Rfam family: Bacterial large subunit ribosomal RNA
Source: RNAcentral
AAUAAGUUAAGUAAGGGCGUAUGGCGGAUGCCUAGGCUCUCAGAGACGAUGAAGGACGUGAUAAGCUGCGAAAAGUUACGGGGAGAAGCACAUAUUUUAUGAUCCGUAAAUAUCCGAAUGGGGCAACCCGGCAUGCUGAAGGCAUGUCACCUAGCAAUAGGGGUAAACCCGGUGAACUGAAACAUCUAAGUAACCGGAGGAAGAGAAAACAAAAGUGAUUCCGUUAGUAGUGGCGAGCGAACGCGGAUUAGCCCAAACCAGUGUU